This 119-nucleotide small RNA is filed under the name Devosia geojensis. RNAcentral's name for it is "Rhizobiales sRNA Atu_C8". It matches the Rfam family "Rhizobiales sRNA Atu_C8". Lineage: Bacteria; Pseudomonadati; Pseudomonadota; Alphaproteobacteria; Hyphomicrobiales; Devosiaceae. The record is from Rfam by way of RNAcentral.
UCCCUUGCGGUCCCUUAUUCUCGUACUUGGUAGGCGCACUGGUCACGUGGGGUAGGUCCCCGCGCGUAAGCUGGUGCGCCGAAACGAGGUCCCGAAUGGGGCCUUUUUUAUUGCCUUUU